This 2799-nucleotide long non-coding RNA is filed under the name Chinchilla lanigera (long-tailed chinchilla). Its description in RNAcentral is "lncRNA (ENSCLAG00000026922.1)". Lineage: Eukaryota; Metazoa; Chordata; Mammalia; Rodentia; Chinchillidae. The record is from RNAcentral.
AUGUGCGCCGGAGAAAGGAAAACAUUAAACGGAACAUUUUUUUUACAUUGUGCUUUUUCUAUUUGUUGUCGAAAUCUCCAAGAGACGGUUGUGGAGAUGAUUCACCCGUGCUGGGGAACGUGCCCCGGCUUCUCCCUCCUGCGUUCAUCACAAGCCCCUGUCGUCAGCACUCAGCGGAUGUGCUCAGCCUUGUCCGGGCCGGGCUGGCCAGCGGAGGGGGCAGGAGGGGGCAUGAAGAGAGGCGGGCCCUCCCUUGGCACCCAAAGCACCUGGCCAGCUUUACCACGCAGGAGAACAGGGAAGCCGACCUUUCAGGCCAGCAUGUUAACAAGCUUUGGAAAACGGACAGAGCUUACAGGAAGGCACAGCUGGGUUGCUCCUGAGCGGGGCCUUAAUUCAAACCAGAACCGGCCGCCGAGCGGGGCCUGGCUAGUGUUUACAGAUGGAGCAGGAAGAGGCUGCGCGGAGAUGAGGCGGUCACCCGCCGGUGCCUUCUCUAGCCCGGCCCCAGUUGGGAUUAAUUAAGAAAGGAAAUGCCACAAUGCCCCAAAUUACUUCUCUGGGAGAAACCUUUGCACCAGAUGAAGUCGAACAAAAAAAGUGGAAGAAGAAAAAAAAAAAAACCACGAAAGAAAACACCUCCCAGAAAUGUGUUUCAUGUGCAUUUAGGUCUUUGUCAGAAAGGGCAAGCAAGGAAAUAAGCUUCCGGUCCUGUGCGCUGGAGUCGUGUGACACUUUAUAGGAACCCAGGAAGGAGAGGGCACUGGGUACCAGUGAUGCUGUCCCACCGGAAAGCCGAGAAAAGACUGCUGUCCCACAAGACAUCCUCAGCCAUCAAAGGCACCCCGAGAGGCAAGUGUCACAGUGCGGAAAUUUUCCACCUACCACAAAUCCCACCCUCUGACACGCAAGGGGGCUGCAAAGGACAGCGUGGCCUCACUCCCUGCCUCGGCAGAUAGGUAAAAGAUAAGCCACAAGUGGCACACAGUCAUCCUAGUGCUCUGGGAGGCUGAGGCAGAAGGAUCACAGGUCGAAGCCCCAUGUGGACAAUUUAGUGGCUGAGAGAGACCCUGUCUCAAAAUCAUCAUCACCAUCAUCAUCAUACAGGUGCUGGGGACGUAACUCAGUGUGAAAGCCCUAGACUAUGUGCUCAGUACCACAAACAAGGAGAAGAGGAAGAGGAGGAGGAAGAAGGAGAAGAGGAGGAGGAAGAAGAGGAGGUAAAAGGCAGAGUGUAAGUGAGGCCCACAGCGUGCUUCCGAAAGAACUUCUCGGGGUUUGACAGCCAGUCUGCUCCACUCGGCUGUCUUUGGCUCCACUCAGCUUUCUCUUGGUCCCAGGAUCCCCUCUCCCAGGCAUCGGGUCACACAGGAGAAAGGUCCCCGGCCCUCCCAGCAGCCACCUGUCCACCCACCCCAGCACGGCUUCUGUCUCGCUGCUCCUCGUCCUCCAAGAGUGAAUCGUGUUCAGCGUACCCCACCACAUCAGAAAGGGCUCCAGGCAACCCGGUUGAUUUUUAUUUUGAAGGGAUUUCUGGUAAAAUAAAUAGGAAAAUGUAAACACUGAUGACGAACAUAUACUUUCCAUACGGAGCAGCCUUAGCCAACCAUAUGUUGUGUCUCACGAACCCAGGGACUUUUUGAUUGUUAGCAAGAUUCCACAUGCACCUGGUUAUGGGGCUGAAAUAUUCCACCGGAAAUAUAAACAGCGGCAGCAGAGAGUCAAGCUCAUUGGAACCAUCUUGUUGAGCUGCAACCUUGUUUUCAGGGGGGGACUUGGGACCAGAAAUAAUCACAUGACAUAUGUCAAAGGCCUCUGGCUAGCUGCUGCCCUAGUGGCAGCCUUGACUUGAAGCUUUGGGGACAAGUGGCUUGGGCACCUAGGGCUAACACCUCUCGACUGAGCUGGGACCUUUGUUUACUACCUGGGUGACAAGUGACCUUCCCUCUCUGGGUCCCUCAUGUGGUGAUGACAUAACCUACUUGGAAGGAUUCUUUUGAGGACAGGUGAGGACAUGUAUGGGAAUCCUUCCCAACUCAGCGCAGGAUAUGGCAGUCACCACAAGGCAAACCACUCAGGAGAGGAAUGGAGUCCACAGAUGCUGAUCAAAAUCAAACUUUUUAGGCUAGACAUGCUGGCGACACCUGUAAUCCCAGCACUCAGGAAGCUGAGGCAGGAGGAUCGAAAGUUUGAGGCUAGCCUGGGCUACAAAGUGAGCUGAGAACUGGUCUGCACUACAUAGUGAGACCCUGCUUCAAACAAAUAAACAACAAACAAACAAAAUCUAACUUUCUGGAAAUAAUACCAGCUCCAGGUGUUCAGAAACCUACAGGUGAUUAUAGUUUUCCCACAUUGUUGUCCCACGUUGUGAAUCAAGGGAAGUCAACACAAGACCUGCUUAGGCAAAAUGAUGUUGACCCAGAUGGUAAGACUUUGUUUGCCUCCUGCUGCCACUCAGGGAGCUACUUUUGCUCUGUGUAUGCACGUGUGUUGUGUGUGUGAUAUUUUUAUUGUAACUUUGCAUUGUGAGAGCCGGGCGUGGUGGCGCACGCCUGUAAUCCCAGCACUCAGGAGGCUGAGGCAGGAGGAUCGUUGCAAGUUAGAGAUCAGCCUGGGCUACAAAGUGAGCUCAAGGCCAGCCUGAACUGCAUAACGAGACUCUGUCUCAAAGGCAAACAAACAAACAAACAACCAAAAAACUUUGCAUUGUGAAAGUCUUGGGAAUGUAUAGUAGAAAAUUCAAAAUUGUAUAGAAGUACAAAAGAUUCCCCACGACAAGCUGUUUUAUGCCAAACCCUU